UACGUAGGGUGCAAGCGUUGUCCGGAUUUAUUGGGUUUAAAGGGUGCGCAGGCGGCCCGAUAAGUUAGUGGUGAAAGCGUUCUGCUCAACAGGAUACUCGCCAUUAAUACUGUCAGGCUUGAGUAUGUUCGAGGAAGUUGGAAUGCGUGGUGUAGCGGUGAAAUGCUUAGAUAUCACGCAGAAUAUCAAUUGCGAAGGCAGACUUCUAGGACACAACUGACGCUCAGGCACGAAAGCGUGGGGAGCAAACAGG
RNAcentral lists this ribosomal RNA (253 nucleotides) under uncultured bacterium. RNAcentral describes it as "partial 16S ribosomal RNA". It matches the Rfam family "Bacterial small subunit ribosomal RNA", at positions 524 to 776 of the family's 1533-position model. The record is from RNAcentral.